This 24-nucleotide ribosomal RNA is filed under the name Phaedusa filicostata. RNAcentral's name for it is "partial 5.8S rRNA". The record is from RNAcentral. Lineage: Eukaryota; Metazoa; Mollusca; Gastropoda; Stylommatophora; Clausiliidae.
CAGAAGAGUCCAGAAAAAAAAAGA